Molecule: long non-coding RNA, 325 nt
Filed under: Homo sapiens (human)
Lineage: Eukaryota; Metazoa; Chordata; Mammalia; Primates; Hominidae
Description: HSALNT0288671
Source: RNAcentral
AUUUGAGUGUUCUCACAAGGGCAAGUAACUCAGUGAUUUGAACUCUGGUGCCUGGUAAGAGAGGCAUAUUCUCAGUAAUAUAAUUCAAAGGGACUACUGCAUACCCUAACUUUGGUGUUUCUUGUUUUAGGAAAAAGCUCCAUUUCUACAUUUACUAAGGGAGUUUCUUUGAGGUCCUCUCUGGCUGUGUCAGUGGCUGUGUUCAACAGGUGUUGCUCAUGACAGUUGGGGUGUUCCUCAGAGGCAUCCUUGAUGUGGCUGCAACUGGGGGAUCCUCGGGAUCCUCACGGAGUCUCUUCCUUGGCAUCUGGCUCAUGAUAAGGUU